CCUACGGGAGGCAGCAGUGAGGAAUAUUGGUCAAUGGACGAGAGUCUGAACCAGCCAAGUAGCGUGAAGGAUGACUGCCCUAUGGGUUGUAAACUUCUUUCAUAUGGGAAUAAAACGUUCCACGUGUGGGAUUUUGUAUGUACCAUAUGAAUAAGGAUCGGCUAACUCCGUGCCAGCAGCCGCGGUAAUACGGAGGAUCCGAGCGUUAUCCGGAUUUAUUGGGUUUAAAGGGAGCGUAGGUGGAUUGUUAAGUCAGUUGUGAAAGUUUGCGGCUCAACCGUAAAAUUGCAGUUGAAACUGGCAGUCUUGAGGACAGUAGAGGUGGGCGGAAUUCGUGGUGUAGCGGUGAAAUGCUUAGAUAUCACGAAGAACUCCGAUUGCGAAGGCAGUUCACUGGACUGCAACUGACACUGAGGCUCGAAAGUGUGGGUAUCAAACAGGAUUAGAUACCCCGGUAGUC
This 460-nucleotide ribosomal RNA is filed under the name uncultured bacterium. RNAcentral's name for it is "partial 16S ribosomal RNA". It matches the Rfam family "Bacterial small subunit ribosomal RNA", at positions 338 to 795 of the family's 1533-position model. The record is from RNAcentral.